CUAUCAUGGAGAUGGCUUCAUGUGCAUUUGAAGAAGCAUAUGUAUUCUGCUAUUUUUUGAUGAACUAUUUGGAUGAACUGUUCCAAAGUAUUCAAAGACUCUGAACUUAGUGCUGAUGUUACAAAGACAAGACCUGGUCAUGCCCUAAAAUUGCUUGGUGUCUCAUGGCUGAAGUUGAGGUAAACAUUAUAUGUUAAUAAAAAACAUUUGAUUAAAUGAGAA
RNAcentral lists this long non-coding RNA (222 nucleotides) under Mustela putorius furo (domestic ferret). RNAcentral's name for it is "lncRNA (ENSMPUG00000030656.1)". Lineage: Eukaryota; Metazoa; Chordata; Mammalia; Carnivora; Mustelidae. The record is from RNAcentral.